AUCCUUUUUGGUUCAUAAACCUGAUGAUUGGGUUGUUAUGCUGAUGUGUGAGAUGUGCAUUCUUCUAAACCUUGUUACAACAUCAGUACAUUAUCCAUCUGUUG
Sciurus carolinensis (gray squirrel) is the source of this 104-nucleotide small nucleolar RNA. RefSeq annotates it as small nucleolar RNA U13. NCBI's taxonomy places the organism in Eukaryota, Metazoa, Chordata, Mammalia, Rodentia, Sciuridae. The record is from RefSeq and is a predicted model, not a curated record. The transcript has a single exon.